RNAcentral lists this ribosomal RNA (460 nucleotides) under uncultured bacterium. RNAcentral describes it as "partial 16S ribosomal RNA". It matches the Rfam family "Bacterial small subunit ribosomal RNA", at positions 338 to 795 of the family's 1533-position model. The record is from RNAcentral.
CCUACGGGAGGCAGCAGUGAGGAAUAUUGGUCAAUGGGCGGAAGCCUGAACCAGCCAAGUAGCGUGCAGGAUGACGGCCCUACGGGUUGUAAACUGCUUUUAUACGGGAAUAACGCGCCUUACGUGUAGGGCUUUGCAUGUACCGUAUGAAUAAGGACCGGCUAAUUCCGUGCCAGCAGCCGCGGUAAUACGGAAGGUCCGGGCGUUAUCCGGAUUUAUUGGGUUUAAAGGGAGCGUAGGCCGGAUGUCAAGCGUGCUGUGAAAUGUCCGGGCUCAACCCGGGCCUCGCAGGGCGAACUGGCGUGCUUGAGACCGCGGAAGGCAGGCGGAAUUAGUCGUGUAGCGGUGAAAUGCUUAGAUAUGACGAAGAACCCCGAUAGCGAAGGCAGCUUGCCGGAGCGGAACUGACGCUGAUGCUCGAAAGCGCGGGUAUCGAACAGGAUUAGAUACCCGAGUAGUC